UUGGUAUGGUUGUUGCUGGCCCUUUUGGGGGUAUGUGCACACUUGCCAUUCUCAUCUUUCCACCUGUGCACCUUUUGUAGACCUGGACAAACUUUCUGAGGCAACUCAGUUUGGAAGAUUGCUGUGCUGGCUGUAUCAGCCAGCUUUUUUUGUAUGUCUAGGCCUAUGUUUUUCAUAUACCCUAUAGAAUGUAACAGAAUGUAAUAGUGGGCCUUUGUGCCUAUAAACCUUAUACAACUUUCAGCAACGGAUCUCUUGGCUCUCGCAUCGAUGAAGAACGCAGCGAAAUGCGAUAAGUAAUGUGAAUUGCAGAAUUCAGUGAAUCAUCGAAUCUUUGAACGCACCUUGCGCUCCUUGGUAUUCCGAGGAGCAUGCCUGUUUGAGUGUCAUUAAAUUCUCAACCUUGUCAGCUUUUGCUGAUGAUGGAUUGGAUGUGGGGGUCUCUCUUGCUGGCUUCUUAGAGGUCAGCUCCCCUUAAAUGCAUUAGCUGGUGCCCCGUGUGGACCAUCUAUUGGUGUGAUAAUUAUCUACGCUAUGGAUGUCUGCAAUCAUAUGGGUUUUUGCACUGCUUCUAACUGUCUGUUAAUUCAGACAAUACAUGACAAUUUGACCUCAAAUCAGGUAGGACUACCCGCUGAACUUAAGCAUAUCAAUAAGCGGAGGAAAAGAAACUAACAAGGAUUCCCCUAGUAACUGCGAGUGAAGCGGGAAAAGCUCAAAUUUAAAAUCUGGCGGUCUCAGGCUGUCCGAG
This 751-nucleotide ribosomal RNA is filed under the name Alnicola tantilla. RNAcentral describes it as "eukaryotic LSU rRNA". The stretch from base 236 to 389 matches the Rfam family "5.8S ribosomal RNA". Lineage: Eukaryota; Fungi; Basidiomycota; Agaricomycetes; Agaricales; Hymenogastraceae. The record is from RNAcentral.